UACAGAUGAUGGAAGAGUACAAC
This 23-nucleotide non-coding RNA is filed under the name Arabidopsis thaliana (thale cress). The record is from RNAcentral. Lineage: Eukaryota; Viridiplantae; Streptophyta; Magnoliopsida; Brassicales; Brassicaceae.